Molecule: long non-coding RNA, 1055 nt
Filed under: Rattus norvegicus (Norway rat)
Lineage: Eukaryota; Metazoa; Chordata; Mammalia; Rodentia; Muridae
Description: long non-coding RNA NONRATT004997
Source: RNAcentral
AGUCGGAGUAGGAACUUGUGGAAUUGCUGACAAGCCCAUGACACAGUAUCAAGAUACAUCCAAAUACAAUGUCAGGCAUUUGAUGCCUCAGUAGUGAGAAACUGUUGGAUUUCAUCUCCGCAGGGCUUUACAUUUACCUUUUUAUCCUUAUAUUUUUCUAAAGGUAAAUUAUUUGUUAGAUGAGUAAGGGAGAUCCGUUGUUGUCAUUGUUUGGCUUUGGUAGGAUGAAACUUGAAGACAUUUGAUAACUGCUACCAUGUAACUUUUCAUUGCUACUCACCACAGCUUCUUCAGUAUGUUGAACAAGGCAACUUUUCUAGCUAAGUGCUGCAUAAGUCGGCACGUAGAUGACUUAGGAACGUCAGGCCACUUAACUGAUGUUGUGUGGACAGUUUGUAAGUCCUAACUUGGGAUUUUCAGAUGCUUUGCACUUGAUAUAUUCCAACAGUGCAGUGGAAGGGACAUCAAGGCAAAACGCCAGCCUGCUGAAGAGAGCUGCUUCUGUUUUACAACCUGGCACUGUCCAGACGAGCCCAAGUAUAGGUUAAUUUAUAAACGGCAAAGUUUAUUUUGAGGUUUUUUUUCCUUGAAUUGUUUCCUGGGACUAUUAGGUCACCUCUACAAUUGACUCACCUUGUAUUUUUUGUCAUUGAGUUUGAAUUUUAUAUUAAAAAACCAAACAAACCAUGUUUAGGAUGUGCUCCCCUUCUCUGUUUAUUUGGUGUUUUCCUUUGUUGACUUCACUUGUGGUAGUGCUACCCGUUUUGGGAUGUGUAAUGUUUAUAUGGGAAGACAAAGCUGAUGUACAGCCCUGUAUACAGUGUAGAUACUAUUUUUGUAAAAAACAGAACAAAACCAAAAAAAAAAAAAAAAAAAACAAAUCCAAGGCUAAAUUAAUGAACAAGAGUACUGAAUGUCUUCAUGAUUACAUUUUCCUGUAUUUCUUGUGCAUUAAUCUGACCAUAACUUCCCUGUAUAUUAUGUUCAUGUAGCUGAGUUUGUAAUUUUUAUUAACGAGAUCAAGUUGCCAGCAUUUGUUGGCAUAAGUGAAGCAC